UUUUAUUCCACUUUAUAGAAUAUAAAUGUCAUAUUGCAUCUUAAUGCUGGAGUUUGAUUCAUUGAUCAGACCUAAAUUACCCAGGAUUCCACUUGGGACAACAGACUUCUUUCUUCUGUAUUUCUUUCAGACAAUUAGGUUGUCAUCUAUGAGAUGGUUGGGGGAAAGCAGGAGUGAGGUUGGGGAGGGGGAGAUGAGAUACCCGUGAUCAGAACUGCAUAAAUAUCACGUGGGUACUAAUUAAUGUCCCCUUGUCUUAGGCUCCAGAGGGAUUCUUGGUUGCCUCCAGUGAAAAGAACUGCUGCUGCAACAUCUGCAAAAGGCCAUCCAGAUGUGGAUGAAAGUGUCAUCCCAUCGCCCUCAGAAUCUAGAGGUUUCUGGAUCCAGGUUUCCCCAAGGAAGAAUGGCAGAACACAUUCUCUGUAGCUCCUUCAGUCCCCCUUACUGGGAUAGUCUGGAGGGCUUUGGGACUCCCAGUUUCUGUGCCUGGGGAUUACAGUUCACUCUGAACACUGCCACCAGAAUGUGAACCACCUCUAGAUUAUCUGGCCAUCUUUUAAACAUCUGAACAUUGUUUCCUAAGCUUCCAGCGUGCAUCAAUUUCAAACUGACCAAUGUCAGUUCCCUGAGUCUCACAUCGCCCUUGGAGGACCUAGGUACCGCAUCUGGCCUCUCACCAUUCCUUUCACGUCUCGUCACUCCAUACCAUCACAAUCUGCUCAUUCUGGGGCACUUCCCAAAUUAUACAUCAGGAAAGUGAACCAUGUUCCAGUUUUCACAUCAGAAUGAACAAGGUACUCUGUUGAGGCUGCUCACCUCUAAAUAAUUCUGAAACCUACUUUUAGUCAGAGUAUAAAUCAUAUGUUUGAAAAUAGCCAUCUACGAAUAGCACCUGAGUGAAGGGAUGGGGGAGCCAAUUUCUUUUCAUUGAGGUAACUCCAAACUAGAAGAGCUUGUGUUGUGUCAUGGAAGGAAAUGACCAAAUUGAGUACGGGAAACUGUGACAGGAUUUCAGUGGUGAUUUUCAAAAAAUCAAAUCAUGUUUACUCUGCUUUGCCUGGAAAAAUGUAUUUUUCCUCAUUCCAUUCUAUUUUUCACUCGCCAUGGGAAAGUUUUUUCUUUGAAAAUGUGAAUCUUCAUCUGUGGUCCACAGUUACCCAGUAGUUCUGGCAAGGCCAUGCUGAUGGUUGUCCCUACAGCCUCUAAUAGCAAUAUUUCAGGGUUUAGGGAAAGAAGAGGAUAAUAUCAAUGGUAACUGUCAAAUACAGGGUGCCCCAAAAGACUUAGUGCAGUGCUAAGCUAUCAACUUUCAAUUGCACUAAGACUUU
This 1328-nucleotide long non-coding RNA is filed under the name Phascolarctos cinereus (koala). Its description in RNAcentral is "lncRNA (ENSPCIG00000028056.2)". Lineage: Eukaryota; Metazoa; Chordata; Mammalia; Diprotodontia; Phascolarctidae. The record is from RNAcentral.